GUAAGAAAAUCUGAUUCUGCUUCACAGAAGGGCAACAGUUUGGUUUUGCCAACACUUACUUUCUCGCCUGAAAAAACUGUUUCAUCAGAAUCACAAAGCAUCAGUGACCAGACCAAACAGAACGCAUUACCUAGUAAGUCAUCACUUAACGUUAAUCAACCGGGCUGCAGUAACAGCAAGAAAGAGGGCAACAAGAAAUUUCUUAAUAUUUCUCAGUCAAGCUUCAACAACAGUAGCAAGGAAGAAUUAAAUAGCAGCAGAUCAUCUUUCAAUGUUUCCAAGUCCAGCACUAAUAAAAA
Cyphomyrmex costatus is the source of this 299-nucleotide long non-coding RNA. RefSeq lists it as uncharacterized. The transcript has 3 exons. NCBI's taxonomy places the organism in Eukaryota, Metazoa, Arthropoda, Insecta, Hymenoptera, Formicidae. The record is from RefSeq and is a predicted model, not a curated record.